This 459-nucleotide ribosomal RNA is filed under the name uncultured bacterium. Its description in RNAcentral is "partial 16S ribosomal RNA". It matches the Rfam family "Bacterial small subunit ribosomal RNA", at positions 338 to 795 of the family's 1533-position model. The record is from RNAcentral.
CCUACGGGGGGCAGCAGUGAGGAAUAUUGGUCAAUGGUCGAGAGCCUGAACCAGCCAAGUCGCGUGAGGGAUGACGGCCCUAUGGGUUGUAAACUUCUUUUGUCGGGGGACAAAACGCGUCACGUGUCCCGUGCUGCGUGUACCCCACGAAUAAGCAUCGGCUAACUCCGUGCCAGCAGCCGCGGUAAUACGGAGGAUGCGAGCGUUAUCCGGAUUUAUUGGGUUUAAAGGGUGCGUAGGCGGCAUGUUAAGUUAGCGGUAAAAUCGGGGGGCUCAACCUCGGCGUGCCGUUGAAACUGGCAGGCUUGAGUGCGCGCGACGUAUGCGGAAUGCGUGGUGUAGCGGUGAAAUGCAUAGAUAUCACGUAGAACUCCGAUUGCGAAGGCAGCGUACCGGAGCGAGACUGACGCUGAGGCACGAAAGCGUGGGUAUCGAACAGGAUUAGAUACCCCUGUAGUC